This 430-nucleotide ribosomal RNA is filed under the name uncultured prokaryote. Its description in RNAcentral is "bacterial SSU rRNA". It matches the Rfam family "Bacterial small subunit ribosomal RNA", at positions 354 to 774 of the family's 1533-position model. The record is from RNAcentral.
GUGAGGAAUUUUGCGCAAUGGGAGCAAUCCUGACGCAGCAACGCCGCGUGGGUGAUGAAGGCCUUCGGGUCGUAAAGCUCUGUCGGGAGGAACGAAUAGCCGCUGUGAACAAUACCACAGUGGUGUGACGGUACCUCCAAAGGAAGCACCGGCUAACUCCGUGCCAGCAGCCGCGGUAAUACGGAGGGUGCGAGCGUUGUUCGGAAUUAUUGGGCGUAAAGCGCGUGUAGGCGGUCUUUUAAGUCUGAUGUGAAAGCCCCGGGCUCAACCUGGGAAGUGCAUUGGAAACUGGGAGACUUGAAUACGGGAGAGGGUAGUUGAAUUCCUAGUGUAGUAGUGAAAUCCGUAGAUAUUAGGAGGAACACCGGUGGCGAAGGCGGCUACCUGGACCGAUAUUGACGCUGAGACGCGAAAGCGUGGGGAGCAAACA